Long non-coding RNA from Belonocnema kinseyi, 605 nucleotides. RefSeq lists it as uncharacterized. Lineage: Eukaryota; Metazoa; Arthropoda; Insecta; Hymenoptera; Cynipidae. The record is from RefSeq and is a predicted model, not a curated record. The transcript is spliced from 4 exons.
GGAAAAAAGUGAAAUCGGACAAGUAAUGUGGUUGGAUGUUGCAGCGCUUUCCGAAUUUGAGGAAGACCCUUCGAAUUCUUCAGCUGAUGCCAAUGUUAUGCAUGAAAUCGCACGAAAAUGUGAAGAAGAAAUCUCUCCAGAUCUUACAGAGGAUUCAGAAGAUGAAAACUCUCAGGGCAAGAAGGAAAUCGAAUUACAAGAGCUACGGAACUCUAUUCGGCAACUGAGGCGAAAAAAAAUUAAUCUAGAAAUGUCAAACAGAUCUUUGAGGAAAGCGAAUGAGAUGAUCGAAAUGAAAGUAGUGAAUUGCUUCGAGCAAGUUCAUAAUGAUUUUUUAAAAAUAAUAUGUACUACUGGAUGUACUUAUAACAGUUUUGAGAUUUCAAUUAAUUUAUAAAUACAUUAUUUUUAAAAUCGAUCAAAACGGUUUUAAAUACUGGACACAAAGAAUUAAAAAGAAGAUUUUUGUCCAGAGAAGAGUUAGCAGUAGGAAAAACAUGACGCAACUAACGAGAUACAUGCUGGUUAUGGAAUUUGGAUUGAUAGGGACAUUUACGAUGCUGCGAGAUAUCCACACAAAGUUAAUGCCAAAAAAUUAAUAAAAG